GUAGUCCAUGCCAUAAACGAUGAAUACUAGGUUUUGGGCCCGUCAACGGUCCAGAGCCGCAGCUAACGCGUUAAGUAUUCCGCCUGGGGAGUACGGUCGCAAGACUGAAACUCAAAGGAAUUGACGGGGGCCCGCACAAGCGGUGGAGCAUGUGGUUUAAUUCGACGCAACGCGAAGAACCUUACCAAGGCUUGACAUGGGACAGACCGUACGAGAGAUCGUGCUUCUCCAGCAAUGGAGCUGUCCACACAGGUGCUGCAUGGCUGUCGUCAGCUCGUGUCGUGAGAUGUUGGGUUAAGUCCCGCAACGAGCGCAACCCCCGUUUCUAGUUGCCAUCAUUCAGUUGGGCCCUCUAGAGAGACUGCCGCGAAUAACGCGGA
RNAcentral lists this ribosomal RNA (380 nucleotides) under uncultured bacterium. Its description in RNAcentral is "bacterial SSU rRNA". It matches the Rfam family "Bacterial small subunit ribosomal RNA", at positions 790 to 1167 of the family's 1533-position model. The record is from RNAcentral.